RNA transcript from Myxocyprinus asiaticus (Chinese sucker), 1829 nucleotides. It is a transcript of the gene named heterogeneous nuclear ribonucleoprotein D0-like, with no coding region annotated. NCBI's taxonomy places the organism in Eukaryota, Metazoa, Chordata, Actinopteri, Cypriniformes, Catostomidae. The record is from RefSeq and is a predicted model, not a curated record. The transcript has 9 exons.
CCCCCACCGCCAUUUUGUGAAUGGAAUCCUUCACUAUAUCGGCAGCCUUUAAAUAAAAGAAAAGGAGCGCGAUUCUUACAAAUUGACUUGAUUUAAUUCCCAUUUCAUAUUAAUUGAAUCAGAACAAAUUUUCCAUCGCAAGAAGUCAUCUAUAUUCGCUGGGUUUUUUUUGCCGGUUGUUCAAAUAUGUCGGAAGAGCAGACUCUGGGCGAAGAUGCGAUGAUGCUGAUGAGGAAGAUGGAGGAAGAUGACGGAGAGGCUCUGGGCGAAGAGCAGAUCCCGGGGGUCGGUGGCUCUGAUGAUAAGGGGCAGGGAGAGACGGAGGGCUCAAAGAUAGAUGCCAGUAAAAAUGAGGAAGAUGAGGGGAAAAUGUUCGUCGGAGGGUUAAGUUGGGACACAACCAAGAAAGACCUGAAGGAUUACUUCUCCAAAUAUGGCGAGGUGGUCGAUUGCACUUUAAAACUGGAUCCUUUGACGGGUCGGUCCAGAGGGUUUGGCUUUGUUCUGUUUAAAGAUGCUGAAAGUGUGGAAAAGGUGAUCGUCCAAAAGGAGCACAAACUUAACGGAAAAGUAAUUGACCCUAAGAAAGCAAAAGCCAUGAAGUCCAAAGAGCCUGUGAGGAAGGUAUUUGUUGGAGGCCUUUCCCCAGAUACUCCAGAAGAGAAGAUCAGAGAGUACUUUGAUGCUUUUGGAGAGGUGGAAUCCAUUGAACUGCCAAUGGAGAAUAAGACAAAUAAAAGACGAGGGUUCUGUUUCAUUACGUUUAAAGAGGAGGAACCAGUGAAGAAAAUUAUGGAGAAGAAGUACCAUAACAUCGGUCUGAGCAAGUGUGAGAUCAAGGUGGCCAUGUCAAAGGAGCAGUACCAACUACAGCAGCAGUGGGGCGGGAGAGGAGGAUACUCCUUCAGAUCCAGAGGGAGAGGAGGUCCCAAUCAGAAUUGGAACCAGGGAUACGGAAAUUACUGGAAUCAAGGUUAUGGAAAUUACGGAAACUAUGGCUACAACAAUCAAGGCUAUGGUGGAUACGGGGGCUAUGAUUACUCGGGUUACAACAACUACUACGGAUAUGGUGACUACAGCAAUCAACAGAGCGGUUACGGCAAAUCCCCACGCCGUGGUGGCCAUCAAAACAGUUACAAGCCUUACUAACGUUUAAACGCUACCAGAAACAUGCAGCGGGGACUUCCUUGCAGGCCGUGAGCUGACUUCCCGAUUGUCUCACGCCCGCUCAAUGCGGACAGGGUACGAGAGGCGUACGCUCUCGAAUGCUCCCAUUUGAUGGAAUGACGGAGAAAGUCAAGCUAAGAAAAGAAACCAAGAGGGUGAGACAGGUUAAAUAUGGAGUUGAUCAAGACUUUACUACACAUUUUACCACAUUUCCAGUUAUCAGCUGUAGGCUGUGUCUGGUCGCCAGUGAAUUCACCAUUUUAUGCAAAACCAGAAAUGUCAUUGAAGUGUGCACCCUAAAGAAUAAUUCAAGUGUUGGAUGAUGAACUUUUCCUGAAAUAAUUUUUGUGUGUGUUUUGAAUUUGUUUGCCUUUUGGUUUUCUAGAGCUUGUGUAGUUGUGUAAUUCACUAAUGAGUAGCUCUCAUACAUUUCUGCGUUGAGUAAAAUGAUUAGUAGAAACCCCAAAUCAUUUAGAAUUCAUUUGUAUACAGAGUUAUUAAUUUAUAGCUUACAGUGCACACAGAGUGUAGGCCAUUUCAUAUUAAUUUCAUAUUGCAGUAUUUUGCUACACUCGUGUAAACCAUUGAAAAAUACAAUGGAUGCAUUAAAGUGUAUGGACUUCAAGUCUGUCAUUUCUUCAUUGAUUAAAGGAAUAGUGAAC